GCUCUCCGCUGCGGACCCGUGGUGGGCAGCUGCCCCGCGUGGUGGGGCGAGUUGGUGAACUGGCAGGUGGAGAAAUCUUUGUCCAAGCAGCUGCAAGAGAAAGCACACAUAUGAAAAAAAAAGCCUUUGUUUUGGUUAAAAUAUGUCUAAACAUCUUGCAUGCAAACAGCUGUUUGCUACACCAUAGGUAUCGCUGAUUUAGAUGUGUAAAACCCACAACAGAAGGUCCAGAACCAUCUUUUAUCAUCUUUCUGAAGUGUGGUACGUUUCAUGUUGCUGUUUACUAGGACAAGUCCUUUGAGGUAGUAUUUUGAGAGGGUGAGGACAGGGGCUUUGUUAUGAGAAACCCCCACUGCUGGAAGGUGAAGUUUUAAUUUCUUUUUUACCAUGCCAAGCACAUCGGUGUCAGAGGUAAACUAGAAUGCUGGGACGAAGCGAAGUGGAGAAUUAAGUGUUUAAGCAGCACCUCUGCUUAUUUCAUGGUUAAGUUAUUUUGUAUUAGCCACGGAAAUUACUGCUGUGUCUGUUCGGUAAAGAUGCAUGCCGACUGCUCAAUUAGCAAAAAAACAGAAAGAAAUGACCUCAUGGCUUACUUCUAAAAGCUUUUAUUUAUUUUUUAUAUUCAGGAGACACCAUAAUACAGCUUCCAAUCAAUCAACCGCAUAGCUCUGGUAAUCAAUACCACAAAGAGACUUUAUGUACAUGGAAGUCUGUCUACUUUGCAGGGAUAAAAUGUUUCCCAAGUGGGACGAGUUUGUUUGCUUGAGCUCUGCCUCACACCGGUGCUUGCAGCUCCGCUGGCCUCUGCCAUAACCAGCUCCUGCUGGCCUCUGGGGGUUAAUUCUCUGGGGGAUUUGGCUUUUAGGCUUUCACAAGGGUUAGCUGAAUAAUGAAGCAAUGGAAAAACAAUCACUCCUUGCAGUUGUGCACAACCUGCUGGCGUUGUGUGAUUAGCAGUAGACAAAGAGGCGCAGUGUUUAUGCAGAGCUGUGCAGGGUGAGCCUGGAGCCGCAGGAAGCCGAGCGCAGCCGGCGUACCUGCUUCCCAGGGCUCCCAGCCGUCUUGCAUUUCGUAUCAUCCAUCGACAUACCGCUGUCGUGGAUAGCUGAGACUUACCAUGAAAACAAUCCUGGCACUCCUGGCUUCAUGCAUUUCGUCUUCAACACCUGGGACACAAACCUGGUGAUGUUUCCUGUAGCCCUUGUGCCACGCUGGGGAAUGCAGAGCCAGAGCCGCAGCGUUUGCUCUGCAGCAGCCUUACAGUGCUCAAGGUCUUCGCAAACCUCUGCAACUGCAGCAAGCUGCUUGUCACAGAACUUGAGUUUGCUUUUUUUUUUUGGACAAAAACCCUCGCGUGCACCACGUGCGGUAUUUUUCCUUCACUGAAAUGCUGUCUUCUGCGUAGGCAGGAGCAGCAACUGACCCAGGAAACAACUCGCGAUGCGGUGUCUGGUCUGGCAUCUGUAUUUGUGCAAAACACUGUAAUUUACAGGAACAUUCAUCAGCAGAGCUCAAUUCAGAGUUCUCCAACUGACUUGGUGGAAAUAAAGCUGCAAUAAAUUACGUGCUGGAGCAUUAAAAGGAGCGUGUCAGAAUAGCUGCUCGAAAUACUAUUUUAUCAUGGAUUUUUGCCAGCUGCUUAAAGUCAGCAGAAAUGUUUCUGCUUAUUCCAGGGGGGCUCUUACCAGACCACGAUGUAUUAUAAAAGAAGGUGGGACUUGUGCUUUGGGGGUAAUUUGCUGU
Oxyura jamaicensis (ruddy duck) is the source of this 1743-nucleotide long non-coding RNA. RefSeq lists it as uncharacterized. Lineage: Eukaryota; Metazoa; Chordata; Aves; Anseriformes; Anatidae. The record is from RefSeq and is a predicted model, not a curated record. The transcript is spliced from 2 exons.